Molecule: long non-coding RNA, 885 nt
Organism: Drosophila bipectinata
Lineage: Eukaryota; Metazoa; Arthropoda; Insecta; Diptera; Drosophilidae
Source: RefSeq, a predicted model, not a curated record
UCAUCUAUUACACAAAAAAUAAAGAGCACAUUUCAUUACGCACGUCAAUACGUCAAAUAAAUUCAAUAAGUCAAAUAAUACGGCAGGCCCCAUAGCUAAAUCUUACUCUCUUUCUUACGCUCACCGUUCGUUCAUCUUACGCUCAUAUACUCAUUGAAUGCUUUUUUUUUCUCAGUCGCUGAAAGGAGCGCGACGAAGAAGGCUGGUCUGCGUUUGGAUUGUUCUUUUUAUGUAUGCGUGUCACACAUUCACUUACACAGGGGCAUGUGUGCGUGCGAUUUCGUGCCUGGUAUACAUUCACACGCAUAGGCAAACAAGUCGUUAAGCGUUAGAGGUGGAGAAACAUCGAUGUUUUUCCAUCUCUAAUCUCUAAGGCGCAUAAAGGAAGAUUGACACAUUUUAUACUUGUUGGUGAUGUUGGCGUGAGUGGUGGAAAUAAAUCAUCGACAGAUUUUUAAAAAGAGCAGCCAGUGAACAGCCCGAUGAGGAUCAAAAGAGGAGGGAUGUUUCAAUAGCGUGGGGGCGGGAUGUUUCAAAAAAAAACGCCGAAAGAACGCAUGGAAUUUGCAAUUAUUGUGGUAAGGCAAUAAAGACGAGUGAAAACACUACUAACCUUAUGGACCAAUUAAAACAUGUUCAUCCUGGUCGACUUAAUGUCGAAAGUGGCCAAAAAACAAACUUUUAGAAAAGUUUGUCGGACAAUCGAUCGCCUUUUACAAUAAUGACUCGGCACGAUAACGUGUAUUGGACAAUAAGGUGAUGAACAUGAUUGCAGUCGAUGUACAACCUUUUAUUGUCGUUAAGGACGAAGGGUUUAAGGCACUUAUGAGGGAAAUGGACCCCCGCUACAGGUUACCGAGUAGGUCACACCUGCGCGACGUAGUC